AGCAGCCGCGGUAAUUCCAGCUCCAAUAGCGUAUAUUAAAGUUGUUGCAGUUAAAAAGCUCGUAGUUGAAUUUCGGGGUUAGUAGGUUGGUCAUGCCUCUGGUAUGUACUGGUCUCACUGAUUCCUCCUUCCUGAUGAGCCGUAAUGCCAUUAAUUUGGUGUUGCGGGGAAUUUGGACUGUUACUUUGAAAAAAUUAGAGUGUUUAAAGCAAGCUAACGCUUGAAUACAUUAGCACGGAAUAAUGAAAUAGGACGUUUGAUUCUAUUUUGUUGGUUUCUAGGAUCGACGUAAUGAUUAAUAGGGAUAGUUGGGGGCAUUAGUAUUCAAUUGUCAGAGGUGAAAUUCUUGGAUUUAUUGAAGACUAACUACUGCGAAAGCAUUUGCCAAGGAUGUUUUCAUUAAUCAAGAACGAAAGUUAGGGGAUCGAAGACGAUCAGAUACCGUCGUAGUCUUAACCAUAAACUAUGCCGACUAGGGAUCGGAUGAUGUUAAUUUUUAAUGACUCAUUCGGCGCCUUAA
RNAcentral lists this ribosomal RNA (520 nucleotides) under uncultured Glomus. RNAcentral's name for it is "SSU rRNA". It matches the Rfam family "Eukaryotic small subunit ribosomal RNA", at positions 569 to 1091 of the family's 1831-position model. Lineage: Eukaryota; Fungi; Glomeromycota; Glomeromycetes; Glomerales; Glomeraceae. The record is from RNAcentral.